This 490-nucleotide ribosomal RNA is filed under the name uncultured bacterium. RNAcentral describes it as "partial 16S ribosomal RNA". It matches the Rfam family "Bacterial small subunit ribosomal RNA", at positions 30 to 507 of the family's 1533-position model. The record is from RNAcentral.
AUUGAACGCUGGCGGCAGGCCUAACACAUGCAAGUCGAACGGUAACAGGAAGCAGCUUGCUGCUUUGCUGACGAGUGGCGGACGGGUGAGUAAUGUCUGGGAAACUGCCUGAUGGAGGGGGAUAACUACUGGAAACGGUAGCUAAUACCGCAUAACGUCGCAAGACCAAAGAGGGGGACCUUCGGGCCUCUUGCCAUCGGAUGUGCCCAGAUGGGAUUAGCUAGUAGGUGGGGUAAAGGCUCACCUAGGCGACGAUCCCUAGCUGGUCUGAGAGGAUGACCAGCCACACUGGAACUGAGACACGGUCCAGACUCCUACGGGAGGCAGCAGUGGGGAAUAUUGCACAUUGGGCGCAAGCCUGAUGCAGCCAUGCCGCGUGUAUGAAGAAGGCCUUCGGGUUGUAAAGUACUUUCAGCGGGGAGGAAGGGAGUAAAGUUAAUACCUUUGCUCAUUGACGUUACCCGCAGAAGAAGCACCGGCUAACUCCGUG